This 459-nucleotide ribosomal RNA is filed under the name uncultured bacterium. RNAcentral's name for it is "partial 16S ribosomal RNA". It matches the Rfam family "Bacterial small subunit ribosomal RNA", at positions 338 to 795 of the family's 1533-position model. The record is from RNAcentral.
CCUACGGGAGGCAGCAGUGAGGAAUAUUGGUCAAUGGGAGAGAUCCUGAACCAGCCAAGCCGCGUGAGGGAAGACGGCCCUAUGGGUUGUAAACCUCUUUUGUCGGAGAACAAAACCAGGGACGUGUCCCGGACUGCGUGUAUCCGAAGAAAAAGCAUCGGCUAACUCCGUGCCAGCAGCCGCGGUAAUACGGAGGAUGCGAGCGUUAUCCGGAUUUAUUGGGUUUAAAGGGUGCGUAGGCGGUCCGUUAAGUCAGCGGUAAAAUUGCGGGGCUCAACCCCGUCGAGCCGUUGAAACUGGCAGACUUGAGUUGGCGAGAAGGACGCGGAAUGCGCGGUGUAGCGGUGAAAUGCAUAGAUAUCGCGCAGAACUCCGAUUGCGAAGGCAGCGUACCGGCGCCAGACUGACGCUGAGGCACGAAAGCGUGGGGAGCGAACAGGAUUAGAUACCCUGGUAGUC